Capra hircus (goat) is the source of this 1372-nucleotide long non-coding RNA. RefSeq lists it as uncharacterized. The record is from RefSeq and is a predicted model, not a curated record. The transcript has 2 exons. NCBI's taxonomy places the organism in Eukaryota, Metazoa, Chordata, Mammalia, Artiodactyla, Bovidae.
GUGUUUGUGUGUGUCUGUGUCUUUGUGUCUGUUCUGUGUGCAUCUAUGUGUGUGUGUGUGUGUCUUUGUGUGUCUAUGAGAUGCUUUUUGAGAGUUUGGAGAGUCCAAGAAGAAUGCGGAAAGAAAGACUUACGUGAUAGCUACCAAGCUUCCUAAAUGUUACACAGGCUUUAAAAUGCCUAACACACUUGCCCCUUUCUCUGUCUUCAGUUGAUCAUCCAUCAUUUUUCCAGUUCCCUGUCUCUCUUCAAACAGACCAUUCAGAAGAGUCCCCCAGACCACACUAAUGGCAGUCACUGGGCACUUCCCACAGGUCUCAGAGCUGGCUGCUUACGUUCUGUUCCAUGCUGGGUACAUUCUGUUCCACGCUGCACAUGUGAGAGGAGAGAAGGAUGAAGAAUGGAUCGAGAUGUUGAGUGGGAGAGGAGGAGACAUCUCCCCACGUUCAAGGUUGCCAUUUACCUGAAUCAGCGGAUUCACGUCCUGUCUGCAUUUGGAAUUCAAACCUGUAAUUGAUAUUACUGUCCCAUCACUCUAACACAUCUCUUUCUCCAUCCUGUGAAAUACCAAGGCAGAGAGGUCUCAAAAACAGGAUGCCAGAAUCAAUGAUCCCUCACAUGCUGAAGGAGGAAUAUCUUUCCCAGCUGUGCGAGGAUUGGGAUUAAGUGUAAGAGAUACCCAGUUAGUAACCAGUCAUUCACCCAUGUUUCUUUAAUCUCUUUUGACCUGGGGGUUUUGCAUCAGUAAAAUGAGGGGCUGGGUGGUGUUAAUCACUUUCCAAGUGUUUUUGACUCUGACCACAGUAAUACCCACAAUACCAAUGGGUGUAUUUAAAUACAUCUUAAAAUGUGUUUCCACUGAAUUUCACCCACUCAACAUUUGAUGCAUCCUGAUAAUUAAUAUUCUAUUUCUUUUUAAAAACUAAAUUCUGGUUGUCAUGAUCAUUAAGAUGAUUUAAAGACCUGGUAAAGGGGAUACACUGGCAGUUUGAAAAGUAUCGGGUGAUUUUCAAGUAUUCAUUUACUUGGUCAAUCGUUUUAUAACUGUUUACUGAGUAUUUAUGAGGUGCCAGACACUGUGAUGGAAGCUGAGAUAAAUGCCACUGAACAAAGGACUUAUCCUUGGGAAACUUACAUACUGUGGAGUCUCUAACUCUGUGAAGUUGUGUUUGAUAGAAAUUUUCAUAGGGAAGGGAAUUCCAAGUGAAUCAGUUAAGAUAAUAGAAUGGGUUUGACUUAGAGGAAAAAGCAUCAGAAGUACAAUUUUUUUUCAACCCUCUAGAAGGAACCCACUGCAAGACUAAAAUAGUCUAAACUUAAAUUGUGUGAUUUUUGUGUCAAAUGAAGAUUUCCUGUGUCCUAAACCUUCAGAA